Long non-coding RNA from Dryobates pubescens (Downy woodpecker), 270 nucleotides. RefSeq lists it as uncharacterized. The transcript is spliced from 3 exons. The record is from RefSeq and is a predicted model, not a curated record. Lineage: Eukaryota; Metazoa; Chordata; Aves; Piciformes; Picidae.
CAUCAGAACAAGAGUGGCCAGCAGAUCCAGAGAGGUGAUUCUGUCCCUCUGCUCUGGAGUGUCCAGUGCUGAAGCCACCAGGAUUUCCAUCUGUGCUCCUCACAGCCCAGCCCGGGCAGCUGUCCUGUCCCUGCCAGUCUGCCCCAGCCCCAUGCAGAAGGAACUCUCCAUCAGUGCCAGGGCAGCUACCUUGAUGCCAAGGUAACAGAGGUAGUGGGUGACCGUGAGGCAACUUCAUAAUUGACAUAUCCGACGACUCGUAAAGGUUGC